RNA transcript from Physella acuta, 6661 nucleotides. RefSeq lists it as uncharacterized. The record is from RefSeq and is a predicted model, not a curated record. NCBI's taxonomy places the organism in Eukaryota, Metazoa, Mollusca, Gastropoda, Physidae.
GCUAUUGGUCUAUUUUUAUGGCACCCAAAAAUUUGCAAGAUAUGUCAUUAAUUAUUGUAACUACUAAAAUACUUCACUGUUAUUAAAGUAUGUCUUCUGACUAUAUCCCCUGAAAAGCAUAUAAGAAAUUAUGGCGAUAAAUAAUUUGGCGUUUAUCUGUCAAAUUUGCUUUCUUAUUGUAACUGGUGCCACGCAAAAAAAUAUGCCCCCAAAACAGCAAUCAUUGAUAUUGUCUGAUAUUGUAAGAUCUGAUGUUGAAGGGUCAACGCUUCAGGUAAACUGCACUGCACGCCUUCCAUCACCGAGUGUUACACUCAGGUGGAUUCCACCAGAUCCAAGAAGAGAAGCAUUCAUACAAACUGCAAGAUACGAUAACACUUUGGUCAUGACUAUACCAGCUCUCAGCCGCUUGGAUGCUGGUCACUAUACAUGUAUGUUGUUCUCAGAAAAUGGGAGUGAAGAGACAGCAGAGUUUAGGCUGCUUGUGAAGAGUAAAGAAACAACUUCCCCUUGCAGCAUUACCCAGUUUAAAUGUAAGCGCUCGAAAUUCUGCAUUUUCAUGCGAUACAGAUGUGAUGGAAGAGAUGAUUGUGGGGAUGGCUCAGACGAAGAUUGUGGAGGUGAUCCAUGUAUGGACAAAUUUCGUUGCAACAAUACUAGAUGUGUUUCUUAUGAUGUGUUGUGUGACCACAUUGAUAAUUGUGGAGAUUUAUCAGAUGAAAGUGCAGUUUGUCUACAGAAAUCAACUUCCACUGUGACUUCCCCACCUGUGACUGAAGACAGCCAGUUUGGUUGGAUGAAAAUUACUGUCUCGACAGUUAUAGCAAGUACAGUUGGUGUAGUAAUACUCAUCUCAUUCAUUGUCAUAAUGGUUUUCCGCAUAAAGAUGAAACGUUUGCGUGAACUUAGGAUAGCAAGGGCAUUUGAACGUAUUUAUCAACAUGAUGGGUCUAGAGAACCCACAUCUCCAGGACAUGGUGAGGAGGGCCCAAGUGACCAGCAUCCAUUCUUACCAUCUACAUCUCAACCCCACUAUGGGAACAUCAUCGUUAACGUCAACAACGGAGUGCAGUACAUGCCCGGUUAUGAUUACUCACUCUUUAUGGAUUCCCCGCCUCCAUAUACAGAAGGUAACACAGAUGGAACGGAGCCCAAGCCCCCACCACCCCCGUACAGUACUCUGGAUAGAAGAACCAGCCACAACCCUGAAGCUGUUGGUCCCACAUGUAACACACACGUCUCACAGUCCUCAGUUCAGAACUACCUGGGUAUUCGCAAUGCAGAUGGGAUGGCUUCUGUCCGAAGGGGGAAUUCAGCUGUUAACAAUGACACAUCCAAUCCUGACAAUGAAACAUCAAACACAUCACAAGAGAGGCCAUCAGCACAGGCUGAAAUAAACACUGGGACUUUACCUAACAUCAACAUCAAUUCUAGAUUCCUUCAGUCACUUCUAGGGUCACAUCUUCAAGUCUCAGGUACUGGUACCAACUGCUCCAGGUUCAUGCAAGAGGAUGGGGCUGAAAGAAGUGUGAACCAAACAAGCCACAACCCUGUCACCUGUCAGAUGAGCAGCAUGCCGCGUCUAGGAAGUUCAGCGCCAAACAUUGAACCAGUAUCUUCUCAUUCUUUACCAUCUCAUCAUUGCACAAGGACCAACGUAAAUAAUUCACAGCUAAUUGGCAAUCUUGAAACUAAUGUUGACAGCAGCCUUGCCAAUCCUAUAACCUCUGUAGAUACUGCAUCACAUGAGGAAUCUCUUCGGUUAACUGUUGUAAACAUAAAUGACCCGUCUAAUGACAACCAAUCAGCCUUGAACUCAGGUAACCCAACAACUGAAGUAAGCAACAGUUCUCUAACUUCAUCAGCUGCUCGUGGACAAGAUCUUAUUUCUCCUGAUGAUGAUUAUGAUGACCCCUGGGACAGCUCCCUUCCACUGUUAGCUACUGCUUCGGCUAUUAUGCCACCAUUUUCUGAAGUCAACAUUGAUGGAGGUGCUUUUAUGUCAGAAGAUUGUUUUCAGGAUGGGGUCUCCCCAAAUGAAGAUGGGACAUUCUUAGUAAGAAAGCAUAAAGAUAGGUGGGGGCCUAAAGUGGACUUGAAUAAAGAUAUCAAUGACACCUCUGACAGUUUGCCUGUGUCAUGUGCGAAUAUAAAUAAUUCAGAUGCUAGCACCACAGCAGUGUCCCAUACAAACACAAAUAAUUCUGAUGCAGGCAGUUUGCCUGUGCCUUCUGCUAAUAUAAAUAAUUCAGAUGCUGUUAGUUUGCCUGUCCCCUGUGCUAAUAGAAAUAGUUCAGAUGCCAGCAAUGCUCUGUUUGUUGAGAUCUCAAAACGUGAUGAGGAGAGGAAGCCCAAACCUGGCCACCUGUCAGUGGAGAGGGGACAAAUUCUGUUGCACACAGACCAUGGUGUGUUAGCCAGUGAUUUCUCCCCAUCCAUUUCCCUCAACUCAAGUCUCAGCAACACCCCAACCAAGUCUUCCAACCUGCCGCAACCAUCAAGGCUCAGUGGAGAGCUGGUUGUCAAAGAUGGGGCUAUCAUGUUACAAAUGCCCUCCGCAAGCCGAGGUCAGGGGCAUUCACUCUACAACCCUGACAGAACCAGCAGCCAUGGCAGUAAACUGUCUCUCAGCUCUGUUCAUUCUGAUUCAUCUGCUUCACAUUUGAAGUCAAGUGAUCCUCCUAACACCGCUCCAAUGUCUUCCACUAAUCCAUCUUCACCUUUGUUAGCCCACACUUUGAACAAUGAGGCUUCAGUGGACUCUGGCUCCUGCCACGGUGGAGACAGCAAGAGCCAGGAAAGACUAAGUGGUGAGCUCAGCAUCAAGGACGGUUGUCUUGUUUUGGAAGCUCCAAAGCACACACCAUCCUCUCAGAUUCUUUCUCAUCUACAAGGGGUAUAUGCUGCAGAACAGAGGCCUGACAAGGGCGGGGAUGAAGACAUGCUUGAGCCAGUUGUCAAUACCAAACGCCCUGCAGGCACUGUUGUCAGUCGCCCACCAUUGCCAAAAUUUAACUCUGAUAUUGUCCUUCCAUUUAAAAACCAACAUCUGUAAACCUCCUUUUUUUAAAUCUAAAAUUUUAGCUUUUUGUAUGUAUAUUAUUUGGAUAUUUUUAGUUUUUUAAACUAUAAAUAUUUGCCCUAAAAUCUCAGUUUUUAUGUUUUUAGAAAUCUUAUUUAUCAUAAAAAAUUAUAGUUGACUAAAGUAAUUAUUGUUAGUGGUUGUAAAUUUGUUGAUAAUGGUAUUGAGACUACUAUUGAUAGAAUUUUAUGCAACAUGAAGUGGGGGGCAGUUGAUAUGUGUGUAGUUCAGUUUUUAAAAACAGCUGUGUGGAUUUUUUAAAAUCUUUACUAUGGAUAAAAUUAAAACUCAAAAAGUUUUUACUAAUUGUGAAAUAAAAGGUUUUAGGCCUUUAAUGGGUUUUCCCUAGAUCUUUCAUUAAAGAUUACAAUAAGGAUUCUCUUGACUGCCAAUAAGAUCAAUUAUAAUAUAAGGCGUAGUUUCUUUUUAAAAUAACACUAUUUUUAUAUUGUAUUUUAUAGUGUGUUUUUUUUUUAUGAAGACUCUAAUUCAAUUAAAUAGUUUUUUAUGCCAUUUAAAUGUUGUUCCUGUUAUAACUUUGUUGAUAAACAUGUGAAAAAAAGUUGUAGGUUCCUAUACCUUGUUAUACUAAAUUGCUUUUUACCGACAUUUUGUUAUAGUGUCUGAAUAUCUUGUUUUGUAUAAAUUUUAUCCAGGUUGUAUCUGACUUGAAUGCUUUUACAUUAUGUUUAGAUCUACUUGUUAUUUUUAAAACUAGUUUUUAAAAAUAUCUUUAUAAAAAGAUCAAUAUGUACUACUGAUAUACAAUUUUGUUUUUGUUUGAACUUAAACUGUGUCUGUAGACUAACAAUCAAUGUAAUAAGUCAAUAUCUAAUAUAAAUUGUCUUUUAUACCUGUAUAUACUUGGAUUACCUAGUUAUAUUAUUAUAAUAUUAGCUGCUACCAUCUUGUCCUAAGAUUUGUGUCAAGGUCUUAAUUCAUAACUAUCAUUUUUAGUCAAUGAUUUUUUAAAUUUAAGUAUGAAAAUUUCACGAUGCAGAGAUAUUGUAAGUUUAAGGAUUGAUAAUACAUCAACAUCUCUUGAUGGCUUCUUAAUUAAUAGACCUGAUGGUCUAUGGGACAAGUAAAAAUUCAUGUUCUUUUUUAUCUCUGCAUAUGAAGGGAUAGUGUGUUCAGAAUUAUGCCCAGCCGUCUUUACUUUCCCUAGCAUGAGUCAGGUAGACUCAGUGACGUUCUAUGGACUUGAACCUAGAUUUGACCAUGCCAUCCCAUUUCUGUCCAUAAUAUAGAAUAUAAAAGAAAUGUUCCAGCCUCUAUCAGCGGUAUGCUCUAGACAUGUUGUGACCACAUCAAUAGAACUCUGCUUCAACUUGAUCUGCAGCUUUUAGUCUAAGGCUUUGACAAUGAUGACUAAAAUAUAAAAGUACCUGAUAAUGUUUCAGCAAACUAACUUUGCUGUCAUCAGUUGUGUUGAAUCCAUCUUGUUGAUCUUUUUAAAUUCUACAUGAAUUCUUGUUGAUUAGGUGUGCAUCAAUGAUUGUAUACAUCAAUGAUUGUUGUUGUAUUUUUUUAUGAAUCUCAUGAAACUGUUUUCUGUUGUUUAUCAUAACUAUUCAAAUUCAACUUGUGUUGUAAACAUUUACAGUGAAAAUGUUAAGUCAAUUAAUUUUUUUUUUAGUCAUUUUGAGUUGUUUAUUUAAAAAUACUCUUGAUAAUCCUUCCUAGAUUCUUCUUUUUUUCUUUUCACAUUGUUACAGAUAAUACUAUGCUUCUUUUUAAUAAAUUUUAUUUUUCAUCUAAGACGGGAGAACCAUACUAUUGUUCACAUAGUUAAAUUUCAAGUCUUAACAAAUGUGUGCAUUUAAUCAAUAGAUCUGUAUGGCCCUAGUACUUUUACUCAUCAAUUUUUGUUUAACUGACAGUAAUUGUCUAUACUGAUUCAUAUUAAUUUUUAUUUUUGCUAGUUGGGGUUUUGUAAAUAUUGUAUAAAACAAACCUACUCCACACCACUAUUUUUUGCCUCUCAUUUUUGUGUUAGUCAGGAGUCCUGGGGGUGACUUGUGCAAAACUAAACUAUGUGAAUAGAUGUUCAUUUCUGAAAUAAUAUAUAUUGUAUAUGUAAGUUUUUUAAAACUAAUGAAACCAAUUUGUUGUAGGUUGUGUAUAUUUUACAAAUCUUUUUAUUUGUGAACUGGGUGAUCUGAUGACUGUUUAUAACUGUUAUGAAUUAAUGAACAAAUUGUUUUACAUACUGCAUAUUCAUAUUUAACAAUUACUUCAUCUUUAGCCGUUUUUCAUUUUAACUAUCAUUUCUCUCCAACUAUUAUUUUAUAAUUAAACAAAUUAUUGCUUCAGGUUAAAUAAGAUCUCUGCUAACUAUAUCUGUAAUUUUAUUUUUUUAAUUUUUGCGUCAUUAGAUUUAGUUCUUCUGUAGUCUUUUGAUCUAAUCUUCCUACCUCAUCAUGUGUUUUAUUUAUUUUCAUGUUUACCCUGUCCUGCUCUAGUAUAUUCAAAUCUGUAGGGUCACAACUUCACUCUGAAUGUUUGUUAACAGAAACAGAAGCUCUACUGAUGACUUUAUGCUGUGUACAUAUUGUUUUUUUUUACAAAUUAAUUUAAUAAGUAUAUCUGUACAGCUUGUCACUUGCGUGAGUGUGAUUUUCAUGCCAUUAUUUAAUCAAAACUCUGAGGGUUUAAUUCUUCCAGUGGUACCAUCUGUUGUGUUGUUUGUUUGUUAAAUACUAGGUCAUGAAGGUUGUGUGCUGUCUCUGUCAGUUUAAGUUAGUCUAUCAUAAUGUUGUGGUGUAAGUUAAUAAGUCGUCAAUGGGAUUGUGGUGUCAGUGUGUGUAAGUUAGUAGGUCAUCAAAGGGAUUGUGGUGUCAGUGUGUGUAAGUUAGUAGGUCAUCAAAGGGAUUGUGGUGUCAGUGUGUGUAAGUUAGUAGUUCAUCAAAGAGAUUGUGUUGUUAGUGUAAGUAAGGUAAUCAAAUAGUUUUUUUUGGUGUCUGUGGAAGUUAGUAGGUCAUCAAAGGAAUUGUGGUGUCAUUGUAAGUUAGUAGGUCAUAAAGGAAUUGUGGUGUCAGUGUAAGUUAGUAGGUCAUCAAAGGGAUUGUGAUGUUAGUGUAAGUUAGGUAAUCAAAUAGUUUUUUUUGGUGUCUGUGGAAGUUAGUAGGUCAUCAAAGGGAUUGUGGUGUCAGUGUAAGUUAGUAGGUCAUCAAAGGGAUUGUGGUGUCAAUGGAAGUUAGAAGAUCAUUUAAUAAAUUGUGAUGGCACCCCAUGAGUGAAUGCUUAACUUUCAACUUUUUAAAUAUAAUCUCAUCUAAACAUUGUUGUUAGGUAGUUUUAAUUUUAACAUGAGAUUACUGGUAUGAUGUUUGAAAUUAAAAUGAAACAGAAUUUGAGAAUGUCAAUUUUCUGCUGCUGUUUCAAGUUGAGACACUAUAAUCAGGUCAACUCAAGUUCUUAUUUAAAUGUGUAGAGUGUACAUAACAAUAGACUGUGGUUAAAUGGGUAUUAACAGUAGCUGACUUACUGCUAUAAGCAGUAGUUGACUUCUGAUGUUUUCAACUGUUUUGUAAAACCUACCAGCAAAAAAAUAAAUCAUUUUUAUUCUAAUCUUUA